GAUGAACGCUGGCGGCGUGCCUAAUACAUGCAAGUCGAGCGAACAGACGAGGAGCUUGCUCCUCUGACGUUAGCGGCGGACGGGUGAGUAACACGUGGAUAACCUACCUAUAAGACUGGGAUAACUUCGGGAAACCGGAGCUAAUACCGGAUAAUAUAUUGAACCGCAUGGUUCAAUAGUGAAAGACGGUUUUGCUGUCACUUAUAGAUGGAUCCGCGCCGCAUUAGCUAGUUGGUAAGGUAACGGCUUACCAAGGCAACGAUGCGUAGCCGACCUGAGAGGGUGAUCGGCCACACUGGAACUGAGACACGGUCCAGACUCCUACGGGAGGCAGCAGUAGGGAAUCUUCCGCAAUGGGCGAAAGCCUGACGGAGCAACGCCGCGUGAGUGAUGAAGGUCUUCGGAUCGUAAAACUCUGUUAUUAGGGAAGAACAAAUGUGUAAGUAACUAUGGACGUCUUGACGGUACCUAAUCAGAAAGCCACGGCUAACUACGUG
Molecule: ribosomal RNA, 497 nt
Filed under: uncultured bacterium
Lineage: Bacteria
Description: partial 16S ribosomal RNA
Rfam family: Bacterial small subunit ribosomal RNA
Source: RNAcentral